RNAcentral lists this ribosomal RNA (772 nucleotides) under uncultured Neocallimastigales. Its description in RNAcentral is "partial large subunit ribosomal RNA". It matches the Rfam family "Eukaryotic large subunit ribosomal RNA", at positions 26 to 633 of the family's 3401-position model. Lineage: Eukaryota; Fungi; Neocallimastigomycota; Neocallimastigomycetes; Neocallimastigales. The record is from RNAcentral.
CGCAUCUGUGCAUGCAGCAUAUCAAUAAGCGGAGGAAAAGAAACUAACAAGGAUUCCCUUAGUAACGGCGAGUGAAGCGGGAAGAGCUCAAAUUUGAAAUCUUGAAAGGUCACCUUUCACGAAUUGUAGUUUAAAGAAGUGUUUUCUGUUACGAUCGUAAUAUAAGUUCUUUGGAAUAGGACAUCACAGAGGGUGAGAAUCCCGUCUAUGAUUGCGAUUUGUAGCUUUGUGAUACACUUUCAAAGAGUCGGGUUGUUUGGGAAUGCAGCCCAAAACGGGAGGUAAAUUUCUUCUAAGGCUAAAUAUUGGCGAGAGACCGAUAGCGAACAAGUACCGUGAGGGAAAGAUGAAAAGAACUUUGAAAAGAGAGUUAAAUAGUACGUGAAAUUGUCAAAAGGGAAGCGUUUAACACCAGUGUUGUUUUCUGAAAAUCAACCUCUGUUAGCUUUAUGCAUGUUUGUUUAGACCUAAUCAGCUAUCUUGCAUGUUCUAUUGUUUGCAGUGGUGCACUUUUCAGUUUACAGGUCAACAUCAGUUUUUUUUUACCGUAAAAAAGUUAAAGAAAGGUAGCUCAUGGCUCCGGUCGUGAGUGUUAUAGUCUUUUUCCUAUGCGGUAGGAGAGACUGAGGUCUGCAGUGUAGGCUAUUUGGCUAGAUACUCAGGUGCUAUGUGAUACCAUUUCAUAAACAACUUGUUGAUUAUGUUUUGUCUAUUGCAUACUCGCUUGUACUAUCAUACCUACGCUUAGGAUGUUGACGAUCAGCUGAGCGCG